This is a long non-coding RNA of Seriola aureovittata, 945 nucleotides long. RefSeq lists it as uncharacterized. Lineage: Eukaryota; Metazoa; Chordata; Actinopteri; Carangiformes; Carangidae. The transcript is spliced from 3 exons. The record is from RefSeq and is a predicted model, not a curated record.
CAGCCACUGCUGCAUUGUGUUUUCACUUUUUUGUGAGUAAAAGAGACAACUUCAUCAGUUCCAUAUAUGUUUAAGAGUCUGUCAAAAAGUCAAUAGUUUUAUUAUGGAGCUAAAUGCCGUUUUGGGACGAGGGAUCUGCCUGCAGGGCUUCUCCCUGGAGUCGCUUCUGGUGCAGUCAAGUGAGAGAGGUCCGGCUGCUGCCUAUACCAGUGCGAGCCAUGCCUACCUCACAGAAGGACCGCUCGGACAAGAAACCACAAGCAAAACAUGAGUAAACCCUGGUGUGGCCUCCCACCGCUGGAGACAGCUCUGAGUAAAGAGAUGAGGUUUGAUGUCGAGCUGCAACUUUUCUGUUAGACAGGACCAGAAGUCCAGUCCAGUCUCCUCAGUGAUGGACCAGCACCUGCUUUUUCUUCUGCGUCUGGCCUCAUCAAUCAACAACCACAUUACAGUAACACCUUGGAGUAUUAACCCUGCACAGAACACAUAUUGUCUGCACUGUGAUCUUUUGCACAUCCUGCUCAGCAGGAGUUUUGUCAACAUAGUUACAGUUAGUAGUUUGUGUAGUAUUUUUUUCAUUGUAUCUAUGUAUAUUUAUCUUUUUGGCUGUUGCAGUAUUUUACCUUUUUAUUUAGCUAGUUAUUUCCUAUAAAUGAAUUAAUUGUAUACUGCAUCAAACACGAAGCUAAACACCUGAUUUUCUGAUUCUGCCUUUGUGAUGAUGUCAUCAUCCCUUCCUCAUGCUGCUGUAGCCUGACACCCAUGUGUCAUGCAGUAUCCCCUUGCCUUCAUAUUUUUAUUGGUAAAUAAACACAUACUGUUUGUAUUAGUUAGACAACAGCCACAGGAACAGGCUAAAUUCCACUAAACUGCUAAAACAUCUGUCGACAUCAUCAUCAUCAUCAUUUAUGCCACUUGAAGUGUUUGUCAGUACUCUUUGUCAUU